AUGCUGUGUAUUUCAGCGAGCAAUUGUGAAAUGAUCAGUCAAUUUUUGCACUUGCGAUUUCGGUUCGUGAAUGAUAACCUCGCUGUCCUGUUAACCAUCUCUCUAGUUCCAUAUGUCUUACCUUUGUAUCCCGAAAUUCUAAACGUCAGUGCGGAGCAGGUUUUUUAUUUAUUGAACAAAACGAGAAUUUUGGGUGAUGUCAUACAGACGGCUCCAAAAUACACAUGUAUGGUAUCAUACUUUGAGAACACUGCCGUGGAGCUGGGAAACGUUCUUGAGGCAAAGCUGAUCAGAUAUCCUCCCCACUGGUGCCGGUGGACCGGUGAAAAGAGUAGCUACUACACAUUUUUGGUGACGGGUCCGGACGAGCCAAGUAGAGAGCAUCCCGCGGAGGGAGAAUAUAUUCACUGGCUCGUUGGAAAUAUAAAGGGUGACAAAUACUUCAAGAAAAGAGUACAUUUAUGAAUACAUUGGACCUGAUCCAAAAAAAGGAACAGGUAUAAAUUAGUCCUUAAUACAAGACGUAUCCUACUCAAUAGUCAAAAAGCAUCCAAAUAACCAUCUACUUCCAAUUGAGAAGGGAAAGGGGGAGGGGGAUGAAGUGUUUGAGCUUAUAAAUUAGUAUUAUCAUCUUCUGGAGGAUUUAAAAAAAAAGACGUUCCAACGCAGUUGCGUUGGAGGGCGCUUCUCUCAGUGGCAGAAGGAAGUAAUAUGGUUGCCCAUACACUGUUAAAAAUCAGUGAUUUACUCUGAGUGAAUAGCCGGCGUGAAAAAAAAUCCAGCGGGAAUUUCGCGCCGUACUCUGAGUGAAUAGAACAGAGCGUAAAUAUCACCAACGACGGACGGAUUAGUUGAGGUACCUCAAGUAGCGUGAACUCAGGAUAUCCUGAUACGAGCGCAAGUUGGCGAAGUGGUAGCGUACUCGUCCAUCACCGCCGCCGCGGCCCGAGUUCAAAUCCAUACUGCGGCGGUUCCGUUUUAUGUUGCCUGUCAGAUUCUCACCCCCGCCAGAGCGCGAAAUUCGCACUUUGGAUGAUCUCGAUAGGAAAACACCAUUUUGUACUUAAUAGCUCAUUCUGAUACACACGAUUUUCCACCAAAUGUUGGUCUUCUACGCACUCAGUCCUCCCUCAUGCUUCAUUCACGAGGUCUAGUAUAUCUAAAGAGCUAGAGGUACUGACCUUAACAAUUCUAAAAUGGAUAUGUAUUCUUUACAGGGAAACACAGAGUAGUCUAUUUAGUAUUCAAGCAACUAAUGGAAAGUUAAAGUUUGAUGAACAAAGAUUAAAUGACACUACGUAAGUAUUUUGCAAUGCAAUUCAUCUACAAAUCACAUUUCACAUGCUUUAAUGCUCUGAGUAUUAAAAAUUCAUAACACAAGUUAAAUCAAAGAAAAGGUUUUAAAAAUUGUCCAAACAAUGUAAGGAAACUUUACUUGCUUACUUAAAUCGCUCAUAUGCUCUAUAAAGUUUACGUGGGGUAUGAAGAAUCGAGGUUAGGUUGCAAAUGAAGGAAUAUUCACGUCAUUAUGAUUGAAUUUGAAUGUGCGGAGAAAUAUUGAUUUUGUUUCUUUUACAUUUCUCGCACAAGUUGUCAUCUCUUUUUUUCGAUAGUCACGUGCUUUUUAGCCAUACCACAGCUUCUCCUAAAUUUCAAACAAAAAAUGAGCAUUCAACGAUCCUUUAAUUUUCUCAACAAGUUUUCAUUUUCCCUGAGACAUUUUUUAAAGGUUUGGUUUAAUUUUUUUUUUUUUUUUUAGACGAGAAAAUCCAUAUCGGAAGAACUUUUCCUGUGGCAAGUUCGCGAAAAAAUACAAUCUUGGUGACCCUGUGGCUGCUAAUUUUCUGUACGUAGAGUGGGGGAUCAACAAGUCGAGAGUUAUUCCUCCAUGGUCAAUGGAGGAAAAGUUACGCUGCCAACACAUCCUGACUAUGUCUGGGAUCCAGAAGAAAAUAUGCCGUGGUUUUUGAGCAAAAAGGAUCUAGAGAAACCGGUCACACCGGAACCCUUUUGAGUGAUGAAUAUGAUGAAUAUACGCUUAUUAAGAUAUUGCGUGUGCAAUCAACAUUGAUGAGGAAUAACUGAGCAUUUCUAAGGCGCAAACAUAUAAUUAAGGCAAAGUGCACUGAAUCGACAAUAAGAACUAGAAAACUGACUUUUUCCAUCAUUCAGAUAAAAGACAAGAAAAAAUAUAUUAAUGAAUGUGACUUUGCUGAAUAAAAACAGAAACAUGUUUUAAGUCAAAUCAGUUACGUAUUUUUUCUGCGUCUCCCAAAAAUUCUCCCCCCGACAUAUUUCCGUCAUGUAGGAAAAUCGAAAGAAAGCAGAAAGCGUAGAGGACGCCCUGCCAAUCGUGGAUUGAGGGAAUAAGGCAGGAAAUGAGGAGAUGCGAUCUGCCGGAGGAGCUCUAGCGGGAUCGUUAUCAGUGGCGGUUGGGUGUCGCAGAGCGCGCAGAAGCACUAUAAGAGCGACUUGUUAGUUAGGAAAAUCGACGAGGUCCGGGUGGCAAUCGGUUCAACCAGGCUGUAUAAAAUUUUAGCCAAUUCAAUC
Molecule: long non-coding RNA, 2550 nt
Filed under: Bemisia tabaci
Lineage: Eukaryota; Metazoa; Arthropoda; Insecta; Hemiptera; Aleyrodidae
Description: lncRNA ENSSSA3NGG009383
Source: RNAcentral